RNAcentral lists this ribosomal RNA (264 nucleotides) under uncultured bacterium. RNAcentral's name for it is "partial 16S ribosomal RNA". It matches the Rfam family "Bacterial small subunit ribosomal RNA", at positions 793 to 1055 of the family's 1533-position model. The record is from RNAcentral.
GUCCACGCCCUAAACGAUGCUCACUAGGUGUUGGGGAAGCGAUUCCUUGGUACCGUAGCUAACGCGUGAAGUGAGCCGCCUGGGGAGUACGGCCGCAAGGUUAAAACUCAAAGGAAUUGACGGGGACCCACACAAGCGGUGGAUGAUGUGGAUUAAUUAGAUGCAACGCGAACAACCUUACCUACCAUUGACAUGUCCGAGAGCCUGCUGAAAGGUGGGUGUGCCUGAAAGGGAAUCGGAACACAGGUGCUGCAUGGCUGUCGU